CCUACGGGGGGCAGCAGUGAGGAAUAUUGGUCAAUGGACGAGAGUCUGAACCAGCCAAGUAGCGUGAAGGAUGACUGCCCUAUGGGUUGUAAACUUCUUUUAUAUGGGAAUAAAGUUUUCCACGUGUGGUUUUUUGUAUGUACCAUAUGAAUAAGGAUCGGCUAACUCCGUGCCAGCAGCCGCGGUAAUACGGAGGAUCCGAGCGUUAUCCGGAUUUAUUGGGUUUAAAGGGAGCGUAGGUGGAUUGUUAAGCCAGUUGUGAAAGUUUGCGGCUCAACCGUAAAAUUGCAGUUGAAACUGGUUGU
Molecule: ribosomal RNA, 305 nt
Filed under: uncultured bacterium
Lineage: Bacteria
Description: bacterial SSU rRNA
Rfam family: Bacterial small subunit ribosomal RNA
Source: RNAcentral